Molecule: long non-coding RNA, 253 nt
Organism: Drosophila gunungcola (fruit fly)
Lineage: Eukaryota; Metazoa; Arthropoda; Insecta; Diptera; Drosophilidae
Exons: 3
Source: RefSeq, a predicted model, not a curated record
GUAUUCUUGAAGGCCUUCAACGAGGAUUGGACGCGGGAACUAAUUAUUUGCAUUAAGUUAAAUAAAACUUCCUCCCCAUACACUAAAGCACGGGACUAAUCAACUCGUCAUCCAUGUAUUCUUGAAGGCCGUCAACGAGGAUUGGACGCGGUUCUGGACGUGUUAUGCUUAUACACCAUCGAUGAUGCCGUUAUCGCGCAGUCAGUUACGUUCAUAGCGGUUCUUUCUUUUGUUUUGAUUAUCCAUCCGUAAU